UACGUAGGCAGCGAGCGUUGUUCGGAAUUACUGGGCGUAAAGAGUGUGUAGGCGGUGCUCUAAGUUCGGUGUGAAAUCUCCUGGCUCAACUGGGAGGGUGCGCCGGAAACUGGAGUGCUUGAGCGUGGGAGAGGAAAGCGGAAUUCCUGGUGUAGCGGUGAAAUGCGUAGAUAUCAGGAGGAACACCUGUGGUGUAGACGGCUUUCUGGACCAUAGCUGACGCUGAGGCACGAAAGCGUGGGUAGCAAACAGG
RNAcentral lists this ribosomal RNA (253 nucleotides) under uncultured bacterium. RNAcentral's name for it is "partial 16S ribosomal RNA". It matches the Rfam family "Bacterial small subunit ribosomal RNA", at positions 524 to 776 of the family's 1533-position model. The record is from RNAcentral.